This 530-nucleotide ribosomal RNA is filed under the name Nerita undata. RNAcentral describes it as "partial 16S ribosomal RNA". It matches the Rfam family "Bacterial large subunit ribosomal RNA", at positions 1894 to 2620 of the family's 2925-position model. The record is from RNAcentral. Lineage: Eukaryota; Metazoa; Mollusca; Gastropoda; Cycloneritida; Neritidae.
UAUGCAACCUUCCCACUCGAUACGCCGCUGCCCAGUGAUUACUUUAACGGCCGCGGUACCCUGACCGUGCAAAGGUAGCAUAAUCAUUUGCCUUUUAAUUGGAGGCUAGUAUGAAUGGUCUAACGAGAGUAAAACUGUCUCAUAUAUAUUUAGCAGAAAUUAACUUAAAGGUACAAAGGCCUUUAUCUAUCAAAAAGACGAGAAGACCCUGUUGAGCUUUAAUCUUAACGAGCAUUUUCUUUAUAUUCAUAAAUCUAUUUUGCCCGCUAAAGAUUUUAAUUGGGGCGAUUAAGGAACACCUACCAGCUUCCUGAAUUUAUCUAAAAAUAUUUAUAAACUAAAUCGAUCCAACAAUGUUGAUCAGCAAAACGAGUUACCACAGGGAUAACAGCAUAAUUCUUCUCAAGAGCCCAUAUCGAAAGAAGAGAUUGUGACCUCGAUGUUGGACUAGGGUAACCAGAAGGUGCAGCCGCUUUCUUGUUUGGUCUGUUCGACCAAUAAUUCCCUACGUGAUCUGAGUUCAGACCGGA